Molecule: ribosomal RNA, 231 nt
Filed under: Goniomonas pacifica
Lineage: Eukaryota; Cryptophyceae; Goniomonadida; Goniomonadaceae
Description: partial Eukaryotic small subunit ribosomal RNA
Rfam family: Eukaryotic small subunit ribosomal RNA
Source: RNAcentral
GGGCCGCACGCGCGCUACACUGAUGCAUUCAACGAGUUUCCUUGGCCGAGAGGCCUGGGCAAUCUUUUGAACGUGCAUCGUGAUAGGGAUAGAUUAUUGCAAUUAUUAAUCUUGAACGAGGAAUUCCUAGUAAGCAUAAGUCAUCAGCUUGUGCUGAUUACGUCCCUGCCCUUUGUACACACCGCCCGUCGCACCUACCGAUUGGAUGGUCCGGUGAAGACUCGGGAUUGU